Molecule: ribosomal RNA, 301 nt
Filed under: uncultured bacterium
Lineage: Bacteria
Description: partial 16S ribosomal RNA
Rfam family: Bacterial small subunit ribosomal RNA
Source: RNAcentral
CAGCCGCCACGGUAAUACGGAGGGGGCUAGCGUUGUUCGGAAUCACUGGGCGUAAAGCGCACGUAGGCGGCUUUGCAAGUCAGAGGUGAAAGCCCGGGGCUCAACCCCGGAAUAGCCUUUGAGACUGCAUCGCUCGAACGUCGGAGAGGUGAGUGGAAUUCCGAGUGUAGAGGUGAAAUUCGUAGAUAUUCGGAAGAACACCAGUGGCGAAGGCGGCUCACUGGACGACUGUUGACGCUGAGGUGCGAAAGCGUGGGGAGCAAACAGGAUUAGAUACCCGCGUAGUCCCUGUCUCUUAUAC